RNAcentral lists this ribosomal RNA (854 nucleotides) under Rhexocercosporidium sp. Its description in RNAcentral is "partial large subunit ribosomal RNA". It matches the Rfam family "Eukaryotic large subunit ribosomal RNA", at positions 71 to 942 of the family's 3401-position model. The record is from RNAcentral. Lineage: Eukaryota; Fungi; Ascomycota; Leotiomycetes; Helotiales.
GGGAUUUCCUCAGUAACGGCGAGUGAAGCGGUAACAGCUCAAAUUUGAAAGCUAGCUCUUUUAGGGUUCGCAUUGUAAUUUGUAGAUGAUGCUUCGGGUGUGGCCCCGGUCUAAGUUCCUUGGAUCAGGACGUCAUAGAGGGUGAGAAUCCCGUAUGUGACUGGGUGCUUUCGCUCAUGUGAAGCUCUUUCGACGAGUCGAGUUGUUUGGGAAUGCAGCUCAAAAUGGGUGGUAAAUUUCAUCUAAAGCUAAAUAUUGGCCAGAGACCGAUAGCGCACAAGUAGAGUGAUCGAAAGAUGAAAAGCACUUUGGAAAGAGAGUUAAACAGUACGUGAAAUUGUUGAAAGGGAAGCGCUUGCAACCAGACUUGCGCGCUGAUGAUCAUCCGGGCUUCUGCCCGGUGCACUCGUCUGCGCUCAGGCCAGCAUCGGUUUUGGUGGUGGGAUAAAGGCCUUGGGAAUGUAGCUCCUCUCGGGGAGUGUUAUAGCCCUCGGUGCAAUGCCGCCURCCGGGACCGAGGACCGCGCUUCGGCUAGGAUGCUGGCGUAAUGGUUGUAAGCGACCCGUCUUGAAACACGGACCAAGGAGUCUAACAUCUAUGCGAGUGUUUGGGUGUUAAACCCAUACGCGUAAUGAAAGUGAACGGAGGUGUGAACCCUUAAGGGUGCAUCAUCGACCGAUCCUGACGUCUUCGGAUGGAUUUGAGUAAGAGCAUAGCUGUUGGGACCCGAAAGAUGGUGAACUAUGCGUGAAUAGGGUGAAGCCAGAGGAAACUCUGGUGGAGGCUCGCAGCGGUUCUGACGUGCAAAUCGAUCGUCAAAUUUGCGUAUAGGGGCGAAAGACUAAUCGAACCA